GAUAGUAAAAGGUACUAAAUCUUGUCGAAAGACAGGGUGCAAAGCAAUGGGGCUAAGGCCAUUUAUAGCUAGUAUUGCCAGGUUACCAUG
Peptococcaceae bacterium SCADC1_2_3 is the source of this 90-nucleotide regulatory RNA element. It matches the Rfam family "c-di-GMP-I riboswitch aptamer". From Rfam's summary of the family: GEMM was predicted in a large-scale screen for bacterial structured RNA regulatory elements. Genes associated with GEMM are involved in a diverse array of functions, including chemotaxis regulation, signal transduction, secretion and chitin. The record is from Rfam. NCBI's taxonomy places the organism in Bacteria, Bacillati, Bacillota, Clostridia, Eubacteriales, Peptococcaceae.